AACGUAGGUGGCGAGCGUUAUCCGGAUUUACUGGGCGUAAAGCGCGUUCAGGCGGCUUGGCAAGUCGGGCAUGAAAUCUCUCGGCUCAACCGGGAGAGGCUGUCCGAUACUGCCAGGCUUGAGGGCAGUAGAGGAGGGUGGAAUUCCGCGUGUAGUGGUGAAAUGCGUAGAUAUGCGGAGGAACACCAGUGGCGAAGGCGGCCCUCUGGGCUGCUCCUGACGCUCAAACGCGAAAGCUAGGGUAGCGAACGGG
Molecule: ribosomal RNA, 253 nt
Filed under: uncultured bacterium
Lineage: Bacteria
Description: partial 16S ribosomal RNA
Rfam family: Bacterial small subunit ribosomal RNA
Source: RNAcentral